RNAcentral lists this long non-coding RNA (6082 nucleotides) under Physcomitrium patens. RNAcentral describes it as "long non-coding RNA (PPAT_LNC008595)". The record is from RNAcentral. Lineage: Eukaryota; Viridiplantae; Streptophyta; Bryopsida; Funariales; Funariaceae.
UUUGAAUCUUUAUUACCUAAUACCAAAGAAAAGACUUGUAUCCUUAUUCUAUUGAAUGUCAAAUUUUUCCUUCUUUCUUCUCUUUUUAAAACAAGUUUUUAGAAGAAGGAUUUGAGUUCCCUCACUCAACAUUGUGAAAGGUGUUUGAGCUUAUUUUGUCUUUAAUGCCACAAAGAGUCAAAACUCACCAUAUAUAUAUUUGAUUCAAAUAUGUUUGGCCCAAUAUACAAAUUUAGAAGUAUAUAUUUUUGUCACAGAUACAGAAAUACAGACUCGAGAUCUAACAAGAAGUUCAAGAAGAACUUGUAAGAACUAGAUUAAUCAGAUGAGAACAACACCAAAGAGGUGAACUAGAGCUCCAAGAGAUGUGUUGUGGAGACUGAAGAACUCUUCAGCCUCGAUUCCAAUAUAUAUUCCUAUUUAGGAAGCUUCUCAAGCAACUUCUACCAACUAGGAAGCUUCUAGAAGGUUCCAGAGACUUGCUUCUAGAAGGUUCUAGAAACUUAUCUCUAGAAGGUUCUAAGGACUAUGUCCCUAACAUCUUCUACCAACUAAGAAGCUUCUAGAAGGUUCCAGAGACUUGCUUCUAGAAGGUUCUAGAAACUUGUCUCUAGAAGGUUCUAAGGAUUAUGUCCCUAACAUCACCCCCUCCUUUAGCUUCGAGGUCUCUGAGAAGCAAUGUUGUUGUUAAUCAUUACCAACGCAAGAAAAUGAAGAUCUGUCGCAUAACGUCAGCUAUGAACUUGAACUAUUGUUCACGAGGCAAGUGGUUCAUCGGCCCAUGAAGCCAACGGUAGUGGCCCACUCCUUCAACUUCUAACCAAGCAUGAACUUCCGUGUCCUCAUUGUGGAAUUGUCCUGCAAACACGCCUUUUGGCUCACCGUUGUAAGUAGGCUCGGACUCAAAUACAAUCACCAGUGAUCGGUUACUCGGUAUCCUCUAUCGUCGUCAUGGUGUAGGCGGUUCUUCAUCUCGGAGUCGCCUUUGUGAGCUAGUCGGUUGAGAUAAACUGACUGGCAUAGUAUCUAUCUCUUGGCUAUCCAUAUCAGAAGACCAAACUAUGGCUACUGAAAAAAUUCUAUUUUAUCUUGGAGAAAAUAACUACAUCAACUACGAAUUUUGGUGGUGCUCUCCCCCUUUCUUAUAUUCUUGGGUGAGCAAGCUUCAGAAGGAAGCUAUCGUCAAACCGGCUUAGGUUUAUGAGGAUGUUGUUGAUGAAACUCCUGUACCUUUUGCAGCGCAUUGGCAAGAUUUUCAGUUGGCUCCCACGUUUGCUCAUUAAUGUUGUAGCCGCACCAAUGAACAAGAUACUCCAACUUGUCCCACCUUCGCCGUGAAUCCAGUACCUUUUCAACCUCGUAUCCUUUAUGGUUCUCGAUCUCAAUACUAGGUGGCGGACAUUGUACUCUUCCAAGAAAAGACGACUCUCGAUAAGGCUCUAACAGAGAAACAUGAAAGACUGGAUGUACCUUCAUAGAAGCAGGUAAUUUUAGAUGGUACGCCACUAGAUUGAUUUGCUUCUGGAUGAUAAAUGGUCUCAAUCUUCGAUAGUCCAACUUAUCACAUAGUCGCUUGGUCUUGAUAUUCCGUCGAAGAAGCCAUGCUUUAUCUCCAAUUUUGAAAGUAGGUGCUUGAUUCCGAAAUCUAUCUACAGACACCUUGUAGGAUUCUUGAGUGGAUUGUAAUUGAAGCUUCAACGUAUUUUGAAGCUCUGAUAGUUGUUUCGCAAAUCCUUCAGCUGCUGGAUUGUUAUUUGUUGACGGACUCGAUAAAUCAAGCUUCGGAUGAUACCCAUAGUUAGAAAAGAAUGGUGUGUAUUGAGUCGACGCAUGGAGGGUGUUGUUAUAUGCAAACUCCGCUAGCGACAGAUAUGUGGUCCAAUCGUCUUGCUGAUAGUUGAUACUGCAUCGUAAGUAUUGUUCCAAGACAUGGUUCACCCAUUCCGUUUAGCCGUCAGUAUGAGGAUGAAAAGCCAAAGAAAGCUUGAUAUCCACCUUCAGUAUCUCAUAGAGAGAUCUCCAAAACUUUGAUACGAACUGGGUUCCUCGAUCUGAUACGAUAUCAUCUGGUAGUUCAUGAUAUCGAUACACAUUAUUGAAAAAGAGCCUUGCUGUGACUUCACUAGACGAUGUCUUCUUGCAAGGAACAAAGUGCGCCAUCUUUGUAAGCCGAUCUACCACGACAAAGAUGCUGUCAAAUGGGUUCGAUGAUGGAAGAUCCGUGAUGAAGUCCAUGGAAACUGAAGACCAUGGUCGACGUAGAAUCGGCAAUGGCUAUAGGAGUCCAUAAAGGCGAUGUCGAGGAUUCUUGGAUCUUGAACAAAUAUCGUAGGAGAGGACAAAAUCUUUCACAUCCUUUCACAUUUGGGGCCACCAAAAAUCUCGAGAAAUAAGCUCCAAGGUCUUGUUGAAUCCAAAAUAUCCCCCAGCUAGAAAAUCAUGGCGAGAUUGAAGAACUCGGAGUCGUGUUGGUCCUUUUGGAAUAUACAACCGCUCCUCAAAGUAUAAAAGAUCUCCGUCCACCUUGAAUUUGUCGUCAUUGGCACGCUGCUUGAUAUCAAUGGCUACUGAAUCUUUAAUGGUCGCAGCACGUACCUGAUUCAAGAAGUCAGCAUCAAUUGGCACAAUAGUAGCACAAAGCCGAAAUUGCUCUAGCUUCAACAACGUCAUACAUUGUUGAUCAAACGUUGCUUCUCCAGCCUUUGGUAUAAGAUACGAUUUCCUCGAUAAGGCAUCAGAUAGUCCUUGCUGCUUUCCAGGUUGAUAAGUGAUAACAAUAUCGAACCUAGAUAGCAACAUACUCCACCGAGCUUGAUGUCGAUUUAGAACUCGAGCCGACAUGAAAUACUCCAAAUUCUUGUGAUCUGUGUAUACGGUCACUGGGUGUGUAGCUCCUUCAAGAAAAUGAUGCUAUUCUUGGAAAGAAUCCACUAUAGCAAGAAGUUCCUUAUCGUGGAUCUCAUAAUUGAUUUCAACAGCAGAGAACUUUCGAGAAUAGAAUGCAACCGGAUGGAGCUUCUUGUCUUCUCUCAUUUGUAAAAGUACUGCUCCCAAAGCAAAAUCCGAAGCAUCAGUUUCUAAAUAAAAGGCCUUUGUAAAGUCUGGAUGUACCAAGAUUGGAGCCAUAAUAAAUGCGAUCUUCAGGUCUUGAAAAGCCUUCUCCGCUAGAGGUCCCCAUUCCAACUUAUCCUUGCAUGUCAACCGAGUGAGAGUAGCAGCAACUUGAGAGUAAUUCUUGAUGAAGAUCCGAUAGAAGUUGGCAAAGCCAAGAAAGCAUUGUACGUCUCUCACCAUCUUCGAAACCUCCCAGGACACGAUUACUUCCACCUUCUUGGGAUCCAUCUUCAAGCCUUCCGUAGUCGCAACGAACUCCAAAAACUCCAUCUCUAUUUGGUGAAAUAAACACUUCUCCAACUUGGCAUAUAGUCCUCGCUCGCGUAGUUUCUCCAAGACCAAACGAACAUGCUUUUCAUACUCUUCCUCAUUUUUGGAAAAUAUCAAAAUAUCAUCCAAAUAGAUGACAACAAAAUUGUCAAGGUCCUCUCGGAAAAUGUCAUUCAUCAUAUGUUGAAAGACCGCUGGAGCAUUGAUAAGACCAAAGAGCAUGACAUUAUACUCAAAAUGGCCAUACCUUGUACGGAACGCUGUCUUCCACUCAUCUCCUUCCUUGAUUCAUACGAGGUUUUAGGCUCCCUUUAGAUCAAUUUUUGUAAAGAUCCUUACACGUCCAAGUUGUUCUAAGAGACCAGAAAUCAAGGAUAAAGGGUAACGAUUCUUCUUUGUUACCUUGUUGAGGCCUCAAUAGUCCAUGCACAUCCACAAUGAGCCAUCAUUCUUCUUCACAAAUAAGAUGGGUGCUCCAACUGACAAUUUUGAAUGACGGAUGAAGUUCUUGGCUAGAUUCUUGUCAAUGUACUUCCGCAACUCUACCAACUCCAUCUGCGAUAGAUUGUAGAUUGGGCCAAAUGGCGGUUGUGCUCCUUCUUGUAAAUCUAUGGCACAAUCAUAUGGUUUGUGUUCCGGUAGCAUGUCGACAUUUUUCUUUUGAAACACGUCUUUAAAAUCCUUAUAUUGCUCCGGUAUACUUGCUGUCGAGAUCUUCUCCCCGGUAGUUGGAGCCGUAUAAAUAACAAACAGUGUGCCUUCCUUGGACGAUCUUAUAAACGCUCUUGCUCCAAUAAAUAAGGAUUUCUCUAUUCGGGGUUUUUUACUAGGCUUGCUCUUGGGUGGUUUUGUCGGAAAGGUCAUCUUCCGCAACUUCCAAUCUAUAGAUGGGUUAUGCUUUUCCAACCAGGAAAGACCAAGAAUAACAGAAUUUGAUGGGGUUCUAAUAAUAUUGAAAAUAAUAUGACUACUAUGGCCCUUAAAUGUCACUUCUAUAGGUUCUGAUUCAUGGGUGACACUACCAGACAAUAAAGGUCACCCAUCUAUGACCUCAACGUGAACAGGUUUGGAUUUUUGUACUAAAGGGAUCUUAUGAUGCUUCACAAAUUCUUCGUCUAAGAAACAAGCAGAUGCUCUUGAAUCUAAUAAUGCUAAGGUUCUCAGUUUCUGAGGGCCAAUAAGCAAAGGGAUUGUAAAACAAAGGGCAGGUUGAGCGGAAAGAAAAGAACCUGGUUGUUGUUGCGAUAUUUCACUGUCCAGCCGCACGGUUCCUAUUGUGGCUGGGCAUCCUCGUUUUCUUGAAUAAACGUGCUACUAGUCUUGACAAUACGUCGAUUUUGUUUCUUGGGGCAGUUUCCAACUUUGUGGCCUUCUUCACCGCAAUACAAGCAUAGACCUUCUUCCAUACGCCGCUUUUUUUCUUCUAGAGUAAGAGAUUUGACACAUACCGCAUCAAUUUACAUGUCUUCUAUCUCUGAAUGUGAAUUCACGCUGUUUGCCGACAUAGUUGAGGCGUGGUGAACCAUAUGUUGUCUUAAACGUUGGUCUUGGCGGCGUUGGAAUAGGCGGUUAUUGUACUUCACAGCUUGGCUAAUAGCUUCGUUGAGCAUUUGCGGAUCAGGAAGAGUUAACAACAAAUCCUUCACAUCGUCCCUUAAAUCCUAAUAGAAUUGAUUCAUCAACGCUUCUUCGUCCCAAUUGAUGUCGCAUGCUAAUUGCUUGAAGUCCGAUGCAUAGACUGAUGUAGAGCGCAUCCCUUGUCGUAGUGACCGGAUCUUUGUUGUAGCCCAUUGAACCUUGUGGUGUUCACCAAAUGCUUCCGCAAACGCCUCCAAAAAGGUUUCAAAGUUGUUUAGUAUGGACGAUCGUUUCUCAAACAAAGGAGCAAACCAUAAUAGAGCUUGUCCUAUAAAUAAGGUUCCAACAAGUCUAACACGUGACUCCUCUGUUGGAUAGCGUUCGGGUUGUAAAACUGUUAUCAACCUGAUUUGGUUGACGAAUCCUCGAAACUUGGAACGCGUACCAUCGAACUUGUUUGGAAGGCUAACUCAGGGCUCUUUAUGUUGUAGAACUAGCGGUGCUUGUCGAACUUGAGGCAAAGUUGCUUCUCCAAGUGCAGAAGUUUGAGGCUGGUGCAACCUAGAUUGUGUCAUCCUAGAUGCUCCAUCAUUAUGAAGCCUUGCCACGACUCCUUCAAUCUCUGCAAUUCUUUGCAAUAACGUAGCGAGGGCAUUCAUAAUAGCAUCCAACUUGGACUCCGAACUUUCUGUCAUAUUAAUAUCUUGGCCCCCGGCCAUUCUAAGAGAAGGACAGAAAUGACUCUAUAAGAAGACAAUAUUUGUUUAGAGGAGGGUACUCCGCAACCUCUAAAAUGCCUUAAGAGCUUCAAGAAAAGGGGUAAUCCACUCUCUUCAAGAAGAAUAAGACUCCAAUAUUGUAACAAAAGAAGUAUCAGUUUAGAGGAGGGUAAUCCGCAACCUCUAAAAUGCUAGUACACUUCCAAGCAGAGGGGUAGUCUACACUCUAACAAAGAAGAAACUAGCUUUGAUAUCUGAGGUGAGUGAAGUCUCGACAAACUGUCACGGACACAGAAAUACAGACUCGAGAUCUAACAAGAAGUUCAAGAAGAACUGGCAAGAACUAGAUUAAUCAGAUGAGAACAACACCAAAGAGGUGAACUAGAGCUCCAAGAGAUGUG